GUACACUCCUGCGGGAGGCAGCAGUGGGGAAUAUUGGACAAUGGGCGCAAGCCUGAUCCAGCCAUGCCGCGUGAGUGAUGAAGGCCCUAGGGUUGUAAAGCUCUUUUGUGCGGGAAGAUAAUGACGGUACCGCAAGAAUAAGCCCCGGCUAACUUCGUGCCAGCAGCCGCGGUAAUACGAAGGGGGCUAGCGUUGCUCGGAAUCACUGGGCGUAAAGGGUGCGUAGGCGGGUCUUUAAGUCAGGGGUGAAAUCCUGGAGCUCAACUCCAGAACUGCCUUUGAUACUGAAGAUCUUGAGUUCGGGAGAGGUGAGUGGAACUGCGAGUGUAGAGGUGAAAUUCGUAGAUAUUCGCAAGAACACCAGUGGCGAAGGCGGCUCACUGGCCCGAUACUGACGCUGAGGCACGAAAGCGUGGGGAGCAAACAGAAUUAGAUACCCCUGUAGUCCCAUG
This 452-nucleotide ribosomal RNA is filed under the name uncultured organism. Its description in RNAcentral is "partial 16S ribosomal RNA". It matches the Rfam family "Bacterial small subunit ribosomal RNA", at positions 331 to 799 of the family's 1533-position model. The record is from RNAcentral.